RNAcentral lists this ribosomal RNA (342 nucleotides) under uncultured bacterium. RNAcentral's name for it is "bacterial SSU rRNA". It matches the Rfam family "Bacterial small subunit ribosomal RNA", at positions 1 to 334 of the family's 1533-position model. The record is from RNAcentral.
GUGAGUAGUUCAGAGUUUGAUCCUGGCUCAGGAUGAACGCUAGCUACAGGCUUAACACAUGCAAGUCGAGGGGCAGCACAAGGCAGCAAUGCUGAGGUGGCGACCGGCGCACGGGUGCGUAACGCGUAUCCAACCUUCCCGUUACUCAUGGAUAGCCUUCCGAAAGGGAGAUUAAUACAUGAUGGUGUUGAAAUUCCGCAUGUUAUUUCAACUAAAGAUUUAUCGGUAACGGAUGGGGAUGCGUUCCAUUAGCUUGUUGGCGGGGUAACGGCCCACCAAGGCUUCGAUGGAUAGGGGUUCUGAGAGGAAGGUCCCCCACACUGGAACUGAGACACGGUCCAG